Molecule: small nuclear RNA, 162 nt
Rfam family: U1 spliceosomal RNA
About the family: U1 is a small nuclear RNA (snRNA) component of the spliceosome (involved in pre-mRNA splicing). Its 5' end forms complementary base pairs with the 5' splice junction, thus defining the 5' donor site of an intron.
Source: Rfam
AUACUUACCUGGUUUUGGGUGUUGGUGAUCAACAAGGCCAAUACUCCCUUAGGAUUUCAGACCCUUGCACAUCUGGUUUGGUCCUGGUGGUAACUUUCGGAAAUGGAAGUUUAAAACCUAAUUUAUGGUAGUGGAGGUUUCUGCGUUCGCGCAAAACCUCUU